UCUCUCGCUCAGAGCUGGUUACCUCUGCUGGGAGCAGAACCAGCGGAGCCCUCCCUGAUUUAUGCUCCCUCUCCCAUUACGAGCAACUUCUGUCGAGUUCCUGUCCGACCCCCAAGGAAGGAGCUGAGUCCUGCCACGCUGAGAUAAGCCGCUUGCCAGUGUCAGCACUCUGGAGAUCGGCUCUCAGCGCACUUCAGCAGAGCUUCAAAGUCAAGAAAAGGAAGUUUGGGGCCCAAACUCCCACUGACAGCAACAGGGGUCAAGCAUGAGACUGCCACGUGGGCCUCCAAAAACAUCCCUCCGUGCUUCCAGAUGCCCGUCUGUCCGUGGGAUGGUAACACAGUGUGUGCAGAAAACGUGUCUGGGAAGCGCUCAGACAUGUGGAACACAUAAGCAUCUAAAAAGCAGCAGUUCACACCCUUUGGAAAAUAUCCCUCUGUCCCUGUGUCCCCUGUUGUCAUUUUGGCAUGAAGUCGGAAUUUGAAACCCUUUUUCUAAGCUGUUGGCAGCUGUUCUGCUUGGGAGGUUUGUGCAAGAAGCAACUCAGGUAGAUGAGAUAGAUGCCUGUGUAAGCCGUUCUCCUCUGUCUGGGACUGUCCCCUAUGUACUUAUCCUGCCCUAUUCUGUCCUUUCUGCUAACGAAGCUCACAGUGCUCAGCUCAUUAAGUGCAGCUACGUUUCCCUCCCGUGAUUAAUUCCAACUGUCCAAACACAGCAGCUCUGGGGGAGCUUUCAGCCAGCCAAGUGCAGGCGCCGUGUGCUAUUUCUCGUGCCCCGGGGUGUCCCAUGUGGCCCUGGCUGCUGCCCCAGGAGGGGCUGAAUGAGGCUUUAUAGCUCAAGUUUGGGUCUUUUUUUCCAUAGCACUACUCUCCAGGACAUAUAUGUGUGUUUUAUCAUUGCCAUAACUCUCCCUUUGUUGCCCAAAUAUUAUGCUGCAGCCUCCCACUUGUUUUGCCCAUAUUGAUCUGAGAGGUCUCACCCUCUUACACAUAGGGAAUACAAUCUGCAAAAAUGUGAAUACCCACAAGAAAGUAUCUGCUUUCUUACUAGCUGAGCACAACCUCUCAAGAGAAAGAGUGCCUAAUUUCUCUCUUCAGCCAGAUCUCCUAAUGUAAGCAAGCUGUUCCCUUCAACCAGUUGCCUGGCUUACGUAUGGUUUCAAAUUGAUGUUGUUAAUUCAGUGACAGAUGCACAAGGUGCCAUUAGUGGUUCUUAAAUGGAAGCAUAAUUUUUACCCAUCAAGAUCCUUUUACCACGCUGGUGCUUACAACCUUCACUGGGGGAUAAGAGCCACAGCAGUGAGCUGGUCAUAAUUUCAACACUGUCUUGUGGACAUGCAGCUACAACAGAAACAUGCAGGCUUUGAAAUGCCACUUUUGGGGUUAGAUUCAGCCAGAGCAUCCAAGUUCAUGGCACAUUUGCUUUUUCCUACACUGAGGCUGAGUUUGGUUUUGUGUGGGAGUUGCAUUGUUGAGAUGGACAACAGUUCUGUGAUUGGCAGUGCAUUAGGGGUGACUUAAUGUUGAGAUGGACAAUCAUAGUUCUGUCCUUCACGUGACCAAAGGUACAUCAAGGCAGGGACAGGGACAGCACAUCCCCAAACACACUAGAAAUGAGGCUUAGAAGAAAGCCACUCAGUAAUACAAGCACAGUUCCCCUGCCCUUUGGAAGCUGCUCUCACUUGCAGCCUGCAGACAAGGGGACAAUUAGUGGUGCUUGCGGCAGAGCGAGCUUCUGUGAUGUGGUGCUUUGUCCACUGGGAUCUCUUCUGAGGUCAGCAGCUCAUUUUGGAUCAUGCAGCGCUGGGCAGCUUUCAGAUGGGAACAAUUUUUGCUAGUUGCCAUCAUUACAAGCUGCACAUGAGAUCAUUCAACCUUCAACAGAUGCUUAAGGAAGUCUCCCUGAGAUUGGCUUCGGAGCACAGCUACACACUCAUGCAUGCAUGCACGUGAAUGGCAAAGGGACUGCUGAAGGAGAAAAGCAUUAUCCUUAUUUCCUCCUCCUCUGAGUCAGGGAGUCUGCACUGCGGGCUCUGAUUCAUCGCGCCAACAGAGCCGGAACCAGAGCUAUCAUUUGAAUUUGCAAGACUGCUUAUCAAGCUGCUGACAUGCAAGAGGAAACCUGGGGAACAAUUGUUCCCCAUGGGACUAUGCAUACUGUUUGAAAUGUCUGGAGUGGGUGGGGGGCUAUGAUACAGAAAGCACUGCCAGAAAUGGCUUUUUUUGCAAAGCUGGCAGCUUACAAAAGGAGCCGGGGAUCUGAGUGGUAUACGGUGCACUGUGGAGAAUUCAGGUGCAAGCUACAGGAAUUUUGUCUUUGGAAACCCCUUCCAAGAAGCAGACAAGCUCGCCAGGCACCAGAUGUUUAUGACUAGUUACAAAGGGCUGCAGUCAAAGCCCUUCAGAGGCAAGCUUCUUUUGUGAGCACACUUGUGGUUUGCUAGCUGCUCCCUAAUUAAAUUGAGCCUGGAGGAGAGGAGGCCCCGGGAUCUGCAUCCGUUUCAGCCAUAUGAGUCUGAAGAAGUUUUUUACCUUUUUUAUUGGCUGUGGGGCUGGUUCGGUGGAGUUUGCACGCAGCAGGAGGUAGGGUCAGUGUGAGAGCAUGUGAGGAAUGCCAGAGGCUCCUGAUAUAGAAGGGAGCGUGUUUUUUGAAUGAACAUAAAGGAGCCUUUCUGGGUUGGUCACUCAUGCCAUGGGUGACUGGGACUUCACUGACGCGUAGGGAGCUCAGGUAAUCUGUGCUAGGCACUGGGCUGUGCUCAGGAAGCCUUGUUUGCACACUCAGAAGAGGAACCGUCCAUACAUUUGGGAGCUCCUGGCAGUAAUGAAGCUGUUGCUGGCUCUUGUGUCACCUUUGGUAGUAACAGAACAGAGAGGGCUGCUGAAAGGCAGCAAAGGUGGUUGGUGCCCAUUAAUCACCAUAUCAUUGAAUCACAGAAUGGCUUAGGUUGGAGGGGAGCAAAAAGAUCAUCUAGCUCCAAUCCCCCUGCCAUGAGCAGGAUUGCCAGCUGCCAGCUCAGGCUGCCCAGGACCCCAUCCAGCCUGGCCUUGAGCACCUCCAGGGAUGGGGCACCCACAGCUUCUCUGGGCAGCUGUGCCAGUGCCUCACCACCCUCUGAGUAAAAAAUUUCUUCCUAAUGCCUAGCUGAAAUCUUCCCUCUUUUAGUUUAAAGUCAUUCCCCCUUGCCCUAUGACUACCAGACCAUGCAACAAGUCAGUCCCACUCCUGCUUGUAAGCUCCUUCAAGGACUAGAAGGUUGCUUUGAGAGCCAGAUGUAAAUGCCCAAGUACGUGGUGUCUUUUUCCUUUUUCUUUGUGUAUGUUUUGCCCUGAAGAACCUGAGAUAAGGCAGAAGUAAAGUGAGUUACUCAGCAAUGAACAUGCUCUUGGUAGUUUCAGAUAUCAAACCUGGUAGCCGUUUCCAAUCAAUUCAUCUGCAGAAGUCUAUGGAGGAUCUAUCUGCUGUUUUUCUGCUGUCUUUGGUGACCAAAGGGGAGCUACUAAUGAAAUGAAGCCAGACGUUUCUCAGAGUUGCUUAGUGGCAAGAAAAGAUGCAAAAAGCAGAGGUUGCAGGAACAGAAAUUCUAACCAGAUAUAUGAAGAAAAAACAAAAACACUCUACAGUCAGUACUGUAGAGCUGUGAGUAACCUGACCUGACUUUGAAGCUGACCUAACGCUGAGCAGGAGGUUGAGCUCUUUGUCCUGUGUUUUUCUUUGAUUCUAAGCAUCUAAUAAAUGACCAGCUGUGAUUGCUCUUGGUCUCACAUGGCAUCUGCCAGCCCUUCCAGCUUCACAGCUUCUUGAAUGAUUAAUUCCUUGUUAAAUCAUAGUAUGCAGAAGGAACAGUCAUCCCUCUGAAUGCAUGGACUACCACCUUAGCACCUAGAUGACUGGGCGCUCUGAGAGGCUUCUAGGAAAGGCAAGGAAAUAUGGAGCCCCUUCACUCACCUAUGCUAUGGGCAAGAGUCACAACCCUGGAUGACAUCCUGGUAACAAAUCUGGCACUGAACAAUAAAACCAAACAAUGGCAGUAUUUUCACACAGCUUGCACGAGUGCAGCUACAAACCCCCAAGUCUUUUGCUGUUCAGUUUAAAGAUGAAACAAACACAACAAAAAAAUUCCUCUGUGGAUAUCUGAUUUCCUCCUCUGAACAAACCAGCAACCAAAAUUCUAGGGGCUGAGUUAUGUGGGAGGUCAGGGUGGAGGUUAUAAGCAGUCCCUUUCUGGCUUUAAACUACAAAAAUCACAGCUCUACCAAAGUCAGUGACAGUUUUGUCCCUGUUGUUUCAGUGGGGCUAUGGUUUUCAUGCAUGGGUUUGUGUUCUGCCUCAAGCCAAUCCUGCUCCCAUCAAUCAUAUCUCUGUCAAACUAGUUAGUUAGAAAGAACGAAGAAGGAUUUGAUCCAGGCAGCACCAACUCAGCUCAAACAAAUGGGAUCUUGUUUCAGGGACAGAUUUACUAAGAGAUUUCCAUGGGCUGUCACCUGUGAAUUAGCCUGACCCUGUGCUAAGGGUGCCCCACAGGUCAUGAGAUGAGGAUGCUGCUGCACUGUAACUUAGCCCUCUAUCCUGCCAUGCCUUCCAUUCAUUCCUGUAUUUCAAUCAGUUUGGGACUUUUUUUUUCCUUCCUAGAACAGUAAUUAAAAAAAAAAAAAUUACGAGGUUUCCUGUGUGAUUUGAUGUGGGAAAAAAAAACCCAUCAAUGAUCUUCCCAGAGGCUUGCUGUCCUCCCUUUCCCCAUGGAAUGAGAGAGUGGCUUGGCUAAGCAGGACUUUUGGUGGUCUGUCAACAACCCCAGCUCACUAUCUAAUUACUUCCCCUUUGGCUGCAGGGCUCUUUUUCUGCCUAACAAACAGUUUCUAGUUCAGUUUGAGAUCAUUCUUGCUGUGCGCUGAUCCCAUGGGACCACACCCCACCAACAAAUGUUUCUAGCUUGACCAAACAGAAAUUGCAUUUGUAUCUGUAUAAUCACCACUGUGCAUUUAUUUCCAUUAUGAAGAGACAAUUCCCUAUUAAAUUUCAAAGUGGUUUACUGGCUCAGAGAGACAGUAAAGCAUCAGCUCACAGAGGGAAGAGCUGUCAUUUGGACAAAACAUUAUUUGUCUACAUAAUGUAACUCAAUAUUUGUGUCUAUAACUGUAUACAGACUGGGAAACCAGAUUUUGGGUUUAUAUACAUGACUGAAUCCAUCUUCAGCACACAUAUAUUUGUCAUACUGUUAGGUACUGCAUGGCUGUCAACAUUCUUGGUGCCUGUAAAAUUCUAAAUCAAUA
Molecule: long non-coding RNA, 5273 nt
Organism: Lagopus muta (rock ptarmigan)
Lineage: Eukaryota; Metazoa; Chordata; Aves; Galliformes; Phasianidae
Exons: 2
Source: RefSeq, a predicted model, not a curated record